UAGUCCACGCCGUAAACGAUGUCUACUUGGAGGUUGUGGCCUUGAGCCGUGGCUUUCGGAGCUAACGCGUUAAGUAGACCGCCUGGGGAGUACGGUCGCAAGAUUAAAACUCAAAUGAAUUGACGAGGGCCCGCACAAGCGGUGGAGCAUGUGGUUUAAUUCGAUGCAACGCGAAGAACCUUACCUACUCUUGACAUCCAGAGAAUCCAGCGGAGACGCAGGAGUGCCUUCGGGAGCUCUGAGACAGGUGCUGCAUGGCUGUCGUCAGCUCGUGUUGUGAAAUGUUGGGUUAAGUCCCGCAACGAGCGCAACCCUUGUUUCCAGUUGCCAGCAUGUAAAGAUGGGGACUCUGGAGAGACUGCCGGCGUAAGCCGCGAGGAAGGUGGGGACGACGUCAAAUCAUCAUGGCCUUUAUGCCUGGGGCUACACACGUGCUACAAUGGCAGAUACAGAGGGUUGCUAAACCGCGAGGUGGUGCUAAUCUCAAAAGCCGUUCA
This 497-nucleotide ribosomal RNA is filed under the name uncultured bacterium. RNAcentral describes it as "bacterial SSU rRNA". It matches the Rfam family "Bacterial small subunit ribosomal RNA", at positions 791 to 1289 of the family's 1533-position model. The record is from RNAcentral.